UGGGGAAUAUUGGACAAUGGGCGCAAGCCUGAUCCAGCCAUGCCGCGUGGAUGAUGAAGGCCCUAGGGUUGUGAAGUCCUUUCGGCGGGGAAGAUAAUGACGGUACCCGCAGAAGAAGCCCCGGCUAACUUCGUGCCAGCAGCCGCGGUAAUACGAAGGGGGCUAGCGUUGCUCGGAAUCACUGGGCGUAAAGCGCACGUAGGCGGCUUUCUAAGUCGGUGGUGAAAUCCUGGAGCUCAACUCCAGAACUGCCUCCGAUACUGGAGAGCUCGAGUCCGGGAGAGGUGAGUGGAACUGCGAGUGUAGAGGUGAAAUUCGUAGAUAUUCGCAAGAACACGAGUGGCGAAGGCGGCUCACUGGCCCGGUACUGACGCUGAGGUGCGAAAGCGUGGGGAGCAAAC
RNAcentral lists this ribosomal RNA (401 nucleotides) under uncultured bacterium. RNAcentral's name for it is "bacterial SSU rRNA". It matches the Rfam family "Bacterial small subunit ribosomal RNA", at positions 355 to 773 of the family's 1533-position model. The record is from RNAcentral.